This is a long non-coding RNA of Callorhinchus milii (elephant shark), 717 nucleotides long. RefSeq lists it as uncharacterized. Lineage: Eukaryota; Metazoa; Chordata; Chondrichthyes; Chimaeriformes; Callorhinchidae. The transcript has 6 exons. The record is from RefSeq and is a predicted model, not a curated record.
GUGUACAGCAGUGUGUGUGCACAGCCACAGGCAGCCUGUGCUGAGAUGGGCUGUGGAAACUCUACAGCCACCAUCACCAGUGCAGGUCCUGAUGGGGUGGCAAAAGAUAUGACAGAGGAACCCACAUCCGAGGAGGACAAAAGGAGGAAUUAUGGUGGUGUGUAUGUUGGUGUGCAAGGGGAAGCUGCCACCAGGGUUCCCAGUCAAACACAGUCUACCCAGUCAAGCAAAGAAACUGACAAAAACACCAAGGAAUCUAACUAAUACAAGACUGCACAACCUGAAGCCUGUAUUCAAGAGCUGCCAUUAUUGCCUGUUUCUGAUUGUUGGGACUAAAUGACAGAACAACGGUGGUCGUUCAUUUUAAAACCUCUUUUUUUAACCUGUGUCCAGAUUUAUUGUAAUUGGUUGUUUGUGUCAAAGAAUAGUGAUGCCUCAAUGACCAACUGUUAACCAAAGGUUUCCUGUGAUAGCUAUGAGAAACUAGAAAUGUUCUACUGUCUGCCAGAUGAAGAGGUUAGGGGUUUAUUUAACCCAUUGGAAGUGCUUGAAGGCAGUAUUUGUGUAGAUGCUGGACAGUUAAUGUAUCCAGUUAGUGGUUCUUGUAUGUAAGGGACUCAGAGAUCAGUCUUCGUGUGAUAUUUAACUUGACCCAGGUCACUUAUUACCAGAGUUUACUUCAUUAUCUAGAAAAGAGGCAAAUGUAUUAUUUUUCUG